This 459-nucleotide ribosomal RNA is filed under the name uncultured bacterium. RNAcentral describes it as "partial 16S ribosomal RNA". It matches the Rfam family "Bacterial small subunit ribosomal RNA", at positions 338 to 795 of the family's 1533-position model. The record is from RNAcentral.
CCUACGGGAGGCAGCAGUGAGGAAUAUUGGUCAAUGGUCGGGAGACUGAACCAGCCAAGCCGCGUGAGGGAUGAAGGUACAGAGUAUCGUAAACCUCUGUUGUCAAGGAACAAAGGCGGGGACGUGUCCCCGGAUGAGUGUACCUGAAGAAAAAGCAUCGGCUAACUCCGUGCCAGCAGCCGCGGUGAUACGGGGGAUGCGAGCGUUAUCCGGAUUUAUUGGGUUUAAAGGGUGCGCAGGCGGUCUGUUAAGUCAGCGGUAAAAGCCCGGGGCUCAACCCCGGUCCGCCGUUGAAACUGGCAGGCUCGAGUUGGAGAGAGGUAUGAGGAAUGCGCGGUGUAGCGGUGAAAUGCAUAGAUAUCGCGCAGAACUCCGAGUGCGAAGGCAGCAUGCCGGCUCCACACUGACGCUGAGGCACGAAAGCGUGGGUAUCGAACAGGAUUAGAUACCCUUGUAGUC